Molecule: long non-coding RNA, 594 nt
Organism: Trichechus manatus latirostris (Florida manatee)
Lineage: Eukaryota; Metazoa; Chordata; Mammalia; Sirenia; Trichechidae
Exons: 3
Source: RefSeq, a predicted model, not a curated record
UGCUCUGUGCUUUUAAUGCUAUCUCUUGAGAAAUUAACAUAACAAUGACAUAUAUAACCUGCUUUCACUGUCUCCUCUUUAAAGCACCCUCCCAACAUGUCAGGUGACACUGCCCAAUUCGAAUCAUAUCUACUCACAAUUAAUAUAUUCUGUUACACUAAUUUUUGGUGUUUCUCCAAUCAAUUUAGGUUUUUGACAAUUCCUGACAUCAGAAGUGGGACCUGUAGUGACUGAUUGACAUCCCCCAGAGCUCUGUUUAGACACAGAUGUGACGUCUGCAAAAGCCCCUUCUGCUUACUGUCUCCACAGAGCAUUUAGAGGCUGACUAGAAACACCUAUGCUCCAGAAUCUCCCCAUAUCGCUGCCUGUACAACUGAUGAAGUAUACCUGUAAAUGGCCACAAAUUCUUUGCACCUUCUUCUAUCAAAAGGGUGGCCACCACUUAAGGAAGCCCAGCCUAGCCUGCUGAAAGAUGAGAGACCAUGGAGAGUACAGACAAGCCACUUGCAGCUGAGUCUCCAGACAUGUGAGUGAGGCCAUCCUAGAUCGUCUAGCCAGUCUGAGCCAGGUCAAAAAACCAAAACACCACCCAAC